UGGGCAAGGCAUACUGAAAGUGUGAGAUGGUCCAAAGUCCAAAAGUACCUGGGAGUGUUUCAAACUCGAACACCAUUUUAAAGACGGACGAGAAAGAAGAGGGAGUAAAAGAAGGAAUAAAACUGAAAAAAGAACGGAAGGCUGUACUGCAUGAAAAUCCCAGGAGGGCAGCUGUUUCUGUGAUGCUGGAACCACCACAUCUGGCACCAUCCAUCUGGCACAGUCAAAGUCGCUUAGAUCACACAUCUUGCCCAUUCUAAUAGAUAGGGGGCGCUGUUUCUAAAAUGAAUCUCUCAGAGGAGCCGAAGACCAAAGGAGGAACCCUCAGCAGUGAGAGGAAGAGGUAUAAAUGCAUGAAUCAGAUAU
Anguilla anguilla (European eel) is the source of this 366-nucleotide long non-coding RNA. RefSeq lists it as uncharacterized. The record is from RefSeq and is a predicted model, not a curated record. The transcript has 3 exons. Lineage: Eukaryota; Metazoa; Chordata; Actinopteri; Anguilliformes; Anguillidae.